Molecule: ribosomal RNA, 372 nt
Filed under: uncultured eukaryote
Lineage: Eukaryota
Description: partial 18S ribosomal RNA
Rfam family: Eukaryotic small subunit ribosomal RNA
Source: RNAcentral
CAAUAGCGUAUAUUAAAGUUGUUGCAGUUAAAAAGCUCGUAGUUGGACCUGUGGCGGUUCCUGUGGUCCGAUUUCGGUACUUGCGGGGACUGCCAUCCUUGGGUGGACCCUGUGUGGCAUUAGGUUGUCGUGCAGGAGAUGCCCAUCUUUUACUGUGAAAAAAUUAGAGUGUUCAAAGCAGGCUUAUGCCGUUGAAUAUAUUAGCAUGGAAUAAUGAGAUAGGACCUCGGUACUAUUUUGUUGGUUUGCGCACCGAGAUAAUGAUUAAUAGGGACAGCUGAGGGUAUUCGUAUUCCAUUGUCAGAGGUGAAAUUCUUGGAUUUCUGGAAGACGAACGAAAGCGAAAGCAUUUACCAAAAAUGUUUUCAUUAA